ACUUUCAACAAAUGGAUCUCUUGGUUCUCGCAUCGAUGAAGAACGCAGCGAAAUGCGAUAAGUAAUGUGAAUUGCAGAAUUCCGUGAAUCAUCAAAUUUUUGAACGCUAAUUGCACUCCCUUGGUAUUCCGAGGAGUACCCCCUGCUUGAGGGGUCCAGU
This 160-nucleotide ribosomal RNA is filed under the name uncultured Scutellospora. Its description in RNAcentral is "5.8S ribosomal RNA". It matches the Rfam family "5.8S ribosomal RNA". From Rfam's summary of the family: 5.8S ribosomal RNA (5.8S rRNA) is a component of the large subunit of the eukaryotic ribosome. Lineage: Eukaryota; Fungi; Glomeromycota; Glomeromycetes; Diversisporales; Gigasporaceae. The record is from RNAcentral.